This 295-nucleotide ribosomal RNA is filed under the name uncultured bacterium. RNAcentral describes it as "partial 16S ribosomal RNA". It matches the Rfam family "Bacterial small subunit ribosomal RNA", at positions 775 to 1067 of the family's 1533-position model. The record is from RNAcentral.
GGAUUAGAUACCCUGGUAGUCCACGCCGUAAACGAUGAGCACUAACUAUUGGGGGAUUGACCCCUUCAGUGGUACAGCUAACGCGUUAAGUGCUCCGCCUGGGGAGUACGGUCGCAAGACUAAAACUCAAAGGAAUUGACGGGGGCCCGCACAAGCGGUGGAUUAUGUGGUUUAAUUCGAAGCAACGCGCAGAACCUUACCUGGGCUUGAACUCUCGAGAAUCCGGCCCAAAAGCUGGAGUGCCCUUCGGGGAAUUCGAUGAGAGGCGCUGCAUGGCUGUCGUCAGCUCGUGUUG